RNAcentral lists this unclassified non-coding RNA (332 nucleotides) under soil metagenome. Its description in RNAcentral is "partial contains 5.8S ribosomal RNA, internal transcribed spacer 2, and large subunit ribosomal RNA". The stretch from base 1 to 120 matches the Rfam family "5.8S ribosomal RNA", at positions 35 to 154 of the family's 154-position model. The record is from RNAcentral.
GAUGAAGAACGCAGCAAAAUGCGAUAAGUAAUGUGAAUUGCAGAAUUCAGUGAAUCAUCGAAUCUUUGAACGCACAUUGCGCCCGCAAGUAUUCUGGCGGGCAUGCCUGUUCGAGCGUCAUUUCAACCCUCAAGCACAGCUUGGUGUUGGGACUCGCGUUAAUUCGCGUUCCCCAAAUUGAUUGGCGGUCACGUCGAGCUUCCAUAGCGUAGUAGUAAAACCCUCGUUACUGGUAAUCGUCGCGGCCACGCCGUUAAACCCCAACUUCUGAAUGUUGACCUCGGAUCAGGUAGGAAUACCCGCUGAACUUAAGCAUAUCAAUAAGCGGAGGA